Molecule: long non-coding RNA, 2613 nt
Organism: Homo sapiens (human)
Lineage: Eukaryota; Metazoa; Chordata; Mammalia; Primates; Hominidae
Exons: 2
Source: RefSeq, a predicted model, not a curated record
GUGCGGGGGGACACGGACGCCGCCGGGCACCCCCACGCGCAUCGCGGCCCAAGCUGGGCUCUGGGAGCAGCCUCAUGACCGCUGCAAAGACGUGUUCUCAGCACAAAGAAAUCUAAAAACCACAAGAAAAUUGCAAACGCCACGAACACCUCCCCACCGAAAGCCACGAAACCCCCUCCAUGGACCACCACGAAACCCCAGUGGCUGAACACCUCGGAACCCCGACCACCAACCUCCUGGGGCCCCAGCAGCUUGAAUACCUCCUGCGCCCAGGAUUUCACUACCUCUCCGGACAGCCCAUUCUCUCCAAAUUUCUGGACGGCAGCUCAGGCCCCUGGAUGCAGCCAUGACUGCCAUAGCACCAGAAUUGUGCCUCCAUGCUGGGCUGAUGCCCCUGCCCCCAUGCCAAGGAUGCUUUAGUAUACCUUUUGGUGCUCCUGCUGCCUCAGCCACAGGAACGCACUGGUGCACUUGGGGCAGGGUUGUCAUGGGGCUGGGUUGGGAGGGUCUACAGGUGCUGAACUGGGAAGAUUCAAGCUCAAGACUGCCACUUCACCGAUUGCCGAAUGACCACAGAGGAGUCCCUGCCUUCCUCUGGCCACAACUUGUCCCUCUGUGGAGAGGAUGAGCUGAGUGACUGAUGACCUCAUGGACGUUCUGGAUGAUUUACAAGCACAGCCUGCUUUCCCUGUUGCGUCCGCCCUGCCCUCCCCUUUCCAUGCAUUUGGCUCUUCCUGCUGCCCCCCACCAGGGGUCCACAGAGACACAGAGAUAAGCUGUGCUUUGACUUGCUUUAUUGAGCCUGUGCAGGAACAGGGAGUGAGCUUCGGCCAGAGCCAACAGUGUGGAGGGGAGAGCUGGGCUGGCACUGCCCGUGGAGUGGUAGGGGGCGGGAGGUAGUGUUACAAGUCCAGCGGGCUGAGCUCUCUGUGAGGACAGAGUGGAACAUGGCAGUGUGGGGGGCAGGCCUCGUGCGUCAGGAGGCCUCAGGCCAGCCCUGGGCUCCUGUUCUCCCUCUUCCACCCCCCACCACACCUUUUCAAACCCUGAUUCAGUCCCACCAUCCCCAUUUCACCCCCAGGGAGCUGGACAGACAGGGUAGGGAGUCGAACUCACCUGGGGGCAGCAGCAUGGGAAGACCCCACUCUGAGAAGGCCAGCGUGUCCUCUUUGUCUCUUUCUCCAUACCUGGAAGCACUGUGCCCAGGUGCCAGCCCACCGGUUUCAUAUCCGCCUGUAGGCACCCUCUUGCCCAGGGCACAUGGGCCCAGGCCUGGUCAGCACAGAUGCUCUGUUUCCCCAAGAGUGGCCUGGAAGGGGCUGGGACUGGGGCUGGAGAUGGGGCUUGGGCUGGGGAUAGGGUGUGGCCAGGAAUGUGGAGUGGGCCCAGGGUCCCAGGGGCUGGGAUCUCUCUCCUUGUCCAUGGCACAUGCCUAGGCUUGGUCAGCAUGUUGAUGUAUCUACGGAGCUCAGCUGUGUACUGGGCCAUCUGCUCCGGUGUGGUAUUGUCCCCUGGGUACAAUGGCUCCAACGGGGCUCCCCGGGCACCCAGCAGUGGCUACAGCAACAGAGCCACACAGGUGGACAGGAGCAGGAGGGAGAGGCAGCGGCAUGCGGCAGCCAUCUGAGGAGCUAGCAGAGGGGAGGUGGAGGUGGAGGUGGAAGAGCCCAUGCUGAAGAUUUUCCUAUGCCCCGGAAGCAGGGCCCAUCUACCCAGCCGUUUAGCCCAUCAUCCAUUUCUCCAAGCCUGGGGACGAGAGGGCAGAGAAAAGGGCCACUCCGAGCUGACCACUCCACCUCCUAGACAGUGUGCUGGAGGCACGGACAGCCUGUCCUGUGAGCAGCCCAGCAGCCAGGGCCUCGCAAGUUAGAGAAGUGUAGCAGAGAAAAUGGAGACAUGAGUCCUGGAGACACAUGUCUCAUGACAUCCAGGUCCUCAUGGCUCUGAGGCAGCAGUAGCUAGUGGGAAAUAAGGGCACACCAGGUCACCCACAGGGUGUGGGACAUGGAAUGAACUGGGGAAGCAAAGGACAGAAAUCCAUGGUCUUGUGGGUCUGGCCCUCCACCCAACAGUAGAGACAGAUAUGGGUUCUGGAGAAGACAUCCUGCACAGACCGGCACAGCCACUCACACAGGGACACAUUCCAGUUCACAGCCAUGCACACGAGUGUGCACACACACUUGCAGUCAUCUGAUGGCUCUCCUAGUGUGACAGGUGUGUCCAGAUGCAGAGCAAUACCCAAGCAGGACCUUAGGGCUUUGAAGGCCCCUGGCCCUGCAAAGCACGAACUCCUUCCCUCCAUCCCAGACCCCAGCCUGGGGGAGUUCUCCAGAUCCCCAAGCAGGCUGAGCCCACUUACCCAGAGUCCAGAGUAAACGGUCACUGGACCAAGCAAGGACGUGUCCCUGCCCUCAGCUGGGCCGCUUUUUCAGUCCUCAGUCCCCUAGAGUCCCCGUCUCCUGUCAGCCUCUCCCACUCCGCAGCCCUUACUCCCUCCUCCCACUGUCUCCCUGGUACUCGCAACGCCACUACUGGGCCAGAGAUGGGAGGGGGACGGGAGUGCUGGGGGUGCCAGACUAGCAGCAUAGUCAAUAAAACUGGAUCACAGCAAAA